Delphinapterus leucas (beluga whale) is the source of this 6761-nucleotide non-coding RNA. Lineage: Eukaryota; Metazoa; Chordata; Mammalia; Artiodactyla; Monodontidae. The record is from RefSeq and is a predicted model, not a curated record.
CCCAUUCUCUGGCUGGAGACACAGAUGGCCUCAAAUGAGAGAGAUGCUAUAUCGUGGUACCAAAAGAAGAUUGGAGCAUAUGAUCAGCAGAUAUGGGAAAAGUCAAUCGAACAGACUCAGAUUAAGGGCUUCAAAAACAAACCAAAAAAGAUGGGUCAUAUAAAGGCAGACUUGAUUGAUGUUGACUUAAUCAGAGGCUCAACAUUUGCCAAAGCCAAACCUGAAAUUCCCUGGACAUCUCUGACUCGGAAGGGGCUUGUUCGAGUUGUAUUUUUUCCCUUUUUCAGCAAUUGGUGGAUUCAGGUUACCUCUUUAAGAAUCUUUGUUUGGCUGCUACUGCUUUACCUCAUGCAAGUUAUAGCACUCGUGUUCUAUUUUAUGAUGCCUAUUGUGAAUGUAAGUGAAGUACUUGGACCCUUGUGCCUUAUGUUACUCAUGGGAACUGUCCACUGUCAAAUUGUGUCUACUCAGAUAACAAGGCCAUCGGGAAACAAUGGAAAUCGGAGAAGAAGAAAAUUACGAAAAACUGUAAAUGGUGAUGGGAGCCGAGAAAAUGGAAAUAACUCCUCUGAUAAAGCCAGAGGAACAGAAACUUUGGAAUCUGCACCCUUUAAUGGUGGUUUUUGGGGGACUCUCUUUGGCAACAGGAUGAAAAGAGUAAAAUUAAUAUGUAGCAAAGGGACAGAGACUGACAAUGACUCAGGUUGUCUGCAUCCUAUCAUCAAGAAGAGACAGUGUCGACCAGAGAUUAGAAUGUGGCAAACAAGAGAGAAAGCAAAAUUUUCAGAUGGAGAAAAGGGAUGCAGGGAGCCGUUUGGGCGUUUGGGCAAUGGGAUUUCAGAUGAUCUGUCAAGUGAGGAUGAUGGUGAAGCCCGGACACAGAUGAUGACGCUGCGGAGGAGCGUGGAAGGGGCCUCAAGUGACAACGGCUGUGAAGUUAAGAAUAGGAAAUCAAUACUUUCAAGGCACCUAAACACUCAGGUAAAGAAGACCACUUCCAAGUGGUGUCCCGUUGUGCGGGAUUCAGAUAGUCUGGCUGAAUCAGAGUUUGAAUCGGCAGCCUUCAGUCAGGGCUGUAGAUCUGGCAUGAGUGGUGGCUCUCGAAGCCUCAACAUGUUGAGAAGAGACUCGGAGAGCACCCGUCAUGACUCGGAGACAGAGGAUAUGUUAUGGGAUGACCUGCUGCACGGCCCUGAGUGCCGGUCGUCUGUCACCAGCGAUAGUGAGGGGGCCCACGUUAACUCCCUUCACUCAGGGACCAAACGUGACCCCAAGGAGGAUGUUUUUCAGCAGAACCAUUUAUUCUGGCUUCAGAACUCAAGUCCUGCCUCUGAUCGAGUUAGUGCAAUAAUCUGGGAAGGGAAUGAGUGCAAAAAGAUGGAUAUGUCUGUGUUGGAAAUAAGUGGCAUCAUCAUGAGCAGGGUUAAUGCGUAUCAGCAAGGAGUAGGUUAUCAGAUGCUGGGAAAUGUCGUCACCAUCGGAUUAGCAUUUUUCCCUUUUUUACAUCGACUGUUCCGAGAGAAGAGUCUUGACCAGCUAAAGUACAUCUCAGCUGAGGAGAUCUUGACUCUCUUUUGUGGGGCACCACCUGUUGCACCUAUUAUUAUCUUGUCUGUAAUUAAUUUUUUUGAACGACUGUGUCUUACUUGGAUGUUUUUUUUCAUGAUGUGUGUGGCGGAGAGAACAUACAAACAGAGAUUUUUAUUUGCAAAACUCUUCAGCCAUAUUACUUCUGCCAGGAAAGCUAGGAAAUAUGAAAUACCUCAUUUCAGACUUAAAAAGGUGGAGAACAUUAAGAUAUGGUUAUCACUGCGUUCCUUUCUAAAGAGACGGGGCCCACAGCGAUCAGUGGAUGUGGUUGUGUCUUCUGUCUUCCUACUGACACUUUCCAUUGCUUUCAUUUGUUGUGCCCAGGUUCUCCGGGGACAUAAAACUUUCCUAAAUGAUGCUUAUAAUUGGGAGUUUUUGAUCUGGGAAUCAGCUUUACUACUUUUCUUACUGCGCUUAGCCUCACUGGGGUCUGAAACCAAUAAGAAAUACAGCAAUGUCUCAAUAUUACUUACUGAACAGAUUAAUUUAUAUCUUAAAAUGGAAAAAAAGCCGAAUAAGAAAGAACAGCUUACUCUAGUAAACAAUGUAUUAAAGCUAUCCACCAAGUUAUUGAAAGAGCUGGACACACCAUUUAGACUCUAUGGACUGACAAUGAAUCCCUUGAUCUACAAUAUCACACGAGUAGUUAUCCUUUCUGCUGUCUCAGGUGUUAUAAGUGAUCUUCUAGGAUUUAAUAUAAGACUGUGGAAAAUUAAGUCAUAAGCUGAGUCAUGUGCCCGGACUUUCUCCCCUUGCUGGCAUCAGUGCUUAACCCAUUAAGGAAAGAGAUGACUGCAAACCCAUGAGACACCCACCUGCUUAUUCACACGGAGAGGUGCCCUCAGCUCUACCUAAUCUAACGAAUGGUGUUUUCAGAGGAACAGAGCCUUUUCCAACUGGGUCCCCAGAAUGCAGAAGAGUACCUGACCCCAUAAUAGAGACAAGUAGAAAAGUUCUAAAUACCAGGAUGUCCUCCAAAGUGUAAGCUUACGGGUCUGUGUUUUUAAUUUUGGUUCAUUGUAUCUAGAGGUAAGUGAACCUGUGCACUGUAAAAAUAACCCUCUUUCAAAUUAAUGAAAUUCAUUUUCAAAAUUUUUUAGUCUACACACUCCAUCAUGGGCCAAAUGGGUCUUACUCCCAAAUAUAGUGUAUGAUUUGGAAUUAUCAAGAAGUAAAUUCAUUAAACUUAAUCUCAUCUAUACAGCUGUUGACUAGUUUGGUCAUUUAAAGUAAUCCUUUGCUCCUUGCAGUUAUUGGUGCCCAUCUUGAAUAAUGAAGUUUGAAUUUCACAAAUGUGAAAUAAUUCCAUUCCUUUCCUGCAGCGCACCCUGAGCCUAUAUGCUGUAGUAAGGUAUUACUCAAGGUAACAAAUAGUUGUUUAUUAAGGACAAAAUAAGCCUCUUGAUUUGCUAUAAAAAUUUGCUAAUAGUUCUGCUUGACUUUAAUGCAAACAUUGUAAAAUAGACAAAUACCCACAGGAUUCUUUGGAAAAAUAUAGGUUCAGGCUAAAUUAAAGCACUUGGCUGUGUUUUUGUAUUUUAAUGUGUAUGUGAGAAAGGUUCAGAGUUCUUUGGCAGAACUCUACUAAAUUCUACUCUCAAUAAGCCUUCAUACUCGCUUCUUACACUUAAGGCCCUACUUGCACAGAAACUUUGAAAACAGAUCCAAGUUAGUGGAUAUCUUAAACUAAUUCAGUCAACUGAAGCAAAGAUUAUAGAGUUCAUGUCAUAAUUAUGGCGUGCUUUAAACCAGUCAUUGUAUUGCUGAUAAACCUUAAUAGCAUAAGCAGUAAAGAGCUGCCUAAAUAAACAAAUCUGCUAUUGUUUAAAAAGCACAAGUAGUUCUUAGCGCUGGAGCAUGCCAGGAUGAUGUAAGAAGUUGCUCUGAUAUAUUCUUCACGCCAGACUGAAUCAUCACGUUUCGUGACUGAAGUCUGUUUACACCAGUGUUCCUUAGUUCCUGGAGCUCACUCUGGACUAAGCUCAAGCUUAAACACAUCUCUGUGGAGGUCGGUAGUUAAGACUGUCACACCGUUUAACUAAUUUGAGUAGUCCUUGCUUUCUUAAAACCCAAUUCUUUUUGAAUGUUGGACACAUUGUUUAAUGUGAAGCUCUUCAUCAGUUCACCUUGAAAAGCAUUUGACUUUCUCUACAUGAGAAUAUCUGACUAUUAAAAAAGGAAAUAACCAAGGUAUGCUCAGGUAGAAAUAAAAAGCCACAUGCUUUUCUGUGUCCAAGACUUCUGAAAUAGGAGUUGACUCUGUGCAAAAGCUACGUGGCCCCAGAAACUUAAUGUAUGGGGGUUAGAAGACAAUAUUACAGGCUCUUACUCACUAAUCUCCCUAGGGAGACAACGUGAUAGCAUCCCAGAACUUUUUUGCUGUUACGACCAAUAAGAAAAUAUGUCCACUGAAACAGCAACAAAAUGAUUUUGCUGCCACUCUGCAGGCUUUGCUACAACACACAUCUCCAUGGUAGGGCUCGGGGUUUGGAGUUUAUUUUCAGUGUGAGUUCAGUAAUGGCAGGCGGGAAUUAAUUUUUCUCCUCAAGAGUAUUCAGUUAACCAUGGUCUUGAGCUAGGUUUUAGGCAUUAUUCAUUCCAAGAAUUUCAGUGAAAUCAAGUCAAAAUACUUCACUCUACAAGUACGACCUAGAGUAGAUAAAAUGAUUUAAAAAUAAUGUGAAAUGCCACAGUCUGAUGAAAUAGAGUUUGUGACCUUGUGGUAACUGGACUUACACAGCUAUGUCCAUUAGAAAUGUCUGAUGACAAUUUCCAAUAAGACAAGUCCUUUUCUUUCCCUGACAGUGUAAGAAAGGAUUUUUGGGGGGUAGCAAAUUAUUUAUGCAAAGCUGUUUUCCUUACAGUGAAAGGUAUUAAGUAGGUAUAAUGAUAUUCAACUCCGACUAAUCUUGAGCUUUACAUAUAGAUAAGUAUAGCUAUACAGGUAAAGUCAUCAUUGUAAGAGUCUUUCUGAUUGUAGGACUCUGAAUAUUUGUUACUUGUAGGGAUAAAAAUCUAUUUGAGGACUCAGACCAUGAUGAGAAUUAGCUCCACAAAUAGAAAAAGCAACAUUACAUAAACCUGACAGUAAAAGAAAUGCAGGCCAUGAACUGAUUUUUGUUUUUCUUUUUUUCUUUUAAUAUCUAUAUAAAAAAUAACGAGCGAUUUACAGGUCUCUUUCUCUAAUCAGAACCUCAAGUGUAUAUAUAAAGGUACUGUACAAUAUAUAAACAUUUACAACCAGUACAUCCGUAUUUUGCUUAGCAUUCCAAGGCCACAUUGCCAAGUCAGUACAAAAUCAGUACAGUGACAGGUUACUUAGAAAGGAAAGAGCCACAUCAGACUGACAACAGAUGACAUCAAAGUUAUGUCGCAGUUAACAAAAAUUGGAUUUUUAUCACUAAUUGUGGACUAUAGGGAAAAUAAAUCAUUUCUGUGAUACUAAAUUCUUAGCAUUUAUCAAGCCUUCUAAUUCUUCUCUAUUCAAGUAGUUACAAUAGGUGGGUAAAUAUAGUUCUGGAUGGAAAGGGGAUUUCAGAAAUCUCACUCUGGGAAGCAUGUCUUAUCUACAGGGGCUGAUUUAGUUGUUAUAAUUAUUAAAGAAUUUCACAGUCAGACUCUGAGAGGGAAGGACCUGGACAUGAUGUGUUUCACAAUAACAAGAUGAACCCACGGUGACAGAACAGGUGUGUUCAAAUACUCCAGAAAAUGGUUUUAUUCUGAGAAUGUUCCUUUAUUUAUAGAUGCUACUGAAUGCUGCUUCCGGGGGCUGAGAAACCCGGAUCUAUUUUAUGGGGCUAAAAACUGUCUCUACCUUCCAACAAACAUCUCUAAUUAGACUUUAGGAAAGAAUUCGGAAAAUCUGUACAAGCUAAGCAGAUGUUUACUCUCCCUUUCUUCCUUGCAAAUAGGUUAAUGUAGCUAGGUAUUAAAAUCAAGAUCCAGCAAGGACUGUCUACCGCCACGUUUGUCCUCACUUGCUUGUGAGCCGGUCUCACACAGGUUCUGCUUCUCAACACUCGAACUCGUACAGCGGCUGCCAGAUGAGUUGGUGCCUCAUCUGGCAACGGACCGUGAAACUGGUUUCAUGAUUAAGUCCCUCUUCAAAUAUGUAUUAUGUAUUAAUGACUAAUGACUUAGUAGUUGGUUCAACCAAAAUAUCCAGAAAGAGAAAUUUGGUAGUUUUUCUUCAGAUAGCAAUAAGCAAUAUUUCCACAUGCUUCUUUGUGGUUUCAUAAUAAAAUAAAUGAAAUAAAAGAGUGAUCUGAGAUGCUAUAACACAUUAGAGUUGGAUAACACAGCAGGAGGUGAACUCUUAAUCAACUGAAGUGCUUUCUCAUUUGAACGUUCAUUUGUAAAUAACAUCUUUAACAGUUAUUUGAAAUACCUUAUCCGGCCGAAUUAAAAUAAACAGCCAUAAGAAAGUCAGUAUUUGACUACAUUUUUUUUUUCUUUCCAGUAGUGAUGUUUGGGAGUUUUAUUUUUAAACGGGGACAUCAUCAGUAAGCUGUUUGUUAGGAGAGGCAACUGCCAUCUUUAAUGAUGAGUUAACAAUCUCUUCUUCUGCAAGGGCUCAAAUAUUUCUCUCUGUAAACAAACAUGCAACAUGCUAUUGAGAAUAUCAACUUCCAAGCCAAACCUAGUUUUUUCGUUACUGUGGAAAUAUCUGCGUGAGAAGGAUAAAAUAGACAUGAUACAGUAGAUAACUUGGCACAAAUAUAAAGUGAGUUGUGACCACGUUGUGAAUAUCAACAUGUCAUUUGUUCAGACACUCAUGAAGACGAGCUGGGCGGCCUGAGCCGGGCGUGUCCGAUGAGCCCGUGGGUGCGGCUCCUUCCUGAGCGCAAGGCGGGCAGCCAGCCAGGGGGACAGUGGGUUCUUAGCAAUCCUGCAGGCCCUUCAUGCAGCCUAGGUCACAGUCGCUUCUCGGCCACACCAGUAGUGCCUGUGGCUCUGCUUGCACUUGGCACCUUCCAAGGCCCUGGAGUUAUUGGUGUUUUCUUAGCUGGAGAACCGCUUUCAGGCACGAUGUCCUUUAAUUCUUCUGCCUUUUCACAUAUCUGAACUCUCAUCAAAGAUUCUUCAAUUACUGGCACACGAGACUCUUCAAAUAUGAAAGCAGAAGGUGAAGAUGGGUGAAAUGGGGACUGUUCAUCAUAAAUCACAUUGGA